This 72-nucleotide transfer RNA is filed under the name Pleodorina starrii. It matches the Rfam family "tRNA". Rfam says of the family: Transfer RNA (tRNA) molecules are approximately 80 nucleotides in length. Their secondary structure includes four short double-helical elements and three loops (D, anti-codon, and T loops). The record is from Rfam by way of RNAcentral. Lineage: Eukaryota; Viridiplantae; Chlorophyta; Chlorophyceae; Chlamydomonadales; Volvocaceae.
AUCGAGAUGGCGCAGCGGAAGCGUGCGGGGCUCAUAACCCCGAGGUCUCAGGAUCGAAACCUGGUCUCGAUA